The submitters of this non-coding RNA (126 nucleotides) gave its source as unclassified sequences. The record is from Rfam.
CUGCGCGCUGGACGGUCAGAAAUGCAACGUCGGCGGCGCGCGGCAGAUACCGGUACCGGGGGAGACGCUGAAACACCGGGAAGAGGGCGGCGAAGGCAGCACCCUCGCGUCGCAAGGCUGCCGGGU